GUACGUAGAUAAACACAAGAUUAUGCAAACCAUUCAUCCUGUAUCUCCCCAAACUGCCUGGCACCCCUACGUGCACCAAAGGUUCACACACACAUUCCUGGAGGUGCAGACAGGAAAUACACUCCCUCUUUCCCCAUCCCCUGUUAACAGGCCCUGUCUGCUUCCCAGACUGGACGGUUUCAGCUCUGGACCCUCCUGCCUCCCCACCCAGGUGUUGCAGGGCUGUUCCUGCCAUAGCAGUGACGGGAGGGGCUGCCCCGCCCUCAUCCUGGGUUGCUAACGGCCAAUGUGUGUCUCUGUCCAAAUUUCCCUUUAUAAGGCCACCAGUCACUCUCAUGACCUCACUUGAACUUGAUCAUGUCUGUAAACCUGCAAACAGUGUUGCACUUAGAGGUUCUCGGGGUUAGGACCUCAACCCUUGAGAGUGGGGGGCAUACAUCCUACCCAAAACAUGGUUCUUCCAGAGUCCGCCUCCACUUCAGCUGUCUGAAGGCACGGCUCUGACCUGCAGUUCAGAGGGGCCCCUGUGGCAAUGGGGACGGCCUGGUGCAGCGUCUCUGGGCAGCCCUGCUGGAUGCCAGCAGAGUCCUGGCACAGCUCUGAGCUGCACCAAUGUGCUGGUGACGUGAAGUGCACACCGUGUCACUCAGCGCUUCCCCCCAUGGGGUCCUGUCUCGGCUGCUUGCCACCCCACCCCCCCGAGCAGGAGCCCUCAGCGUCCCGCCUGCUGGAGCCUCAGGGCCACACUGACCCUGCUUCUGCUUGGAGUCCACAGACGCAUGGACCAUCUCUACUGCACAGAGCAUCACUCUGGCCCCCAAGCUGACAACGUCCUGCAGACUGGUUUUGACUAGUUGCUACUUUAGUAACAGUGAACUAAAUAAAGCACGAUUUUGAAAAAAAUGUACAAGUGAACUUAUUUAAGGAACAGAAAUGAGAGUCACAGAUGUAGAAAACAAAGAAGGAUAAACUAGGAGACUGGGACUGACAUACACACACUCCUAGACGACUGAUAAGGACUUCCUGUGGAGCACAGGGAGUCUCCUCAAUCCUCUGUAAUGGCCUACAUGGAAAGGUCAUCUAGAGAGAGAGGGUAUAUGUGUAUGUAUAACUGGUUCACUUUGCUGUACAGCAGAAACCAGCAUGACAUUGUACAUCAGCCAUAUUCCAAUUUUAAAAAAAUAANNNNNNNNNNNNNNNNNNNNNCAUGAGAAACCCCCAAACUCAUGGGGCCCCCGAUUUGGUGGCGUUUCCAGGGAUUCCAUGGUCUGAAGCAGGAAGACAAGGUGCCGCACCCCCAUACCCCCCGUGUGAACAGGCAGCCCUACUGACACAUUUGGGCAUGUUAAGUCCACCUGUCUACACUGGCAGCACAUGGCUCCCAGUUAAAGCAGGACCUGCAGGAGCACAAGCGUGCUGCACGACCACUGAGCCUUAGGAUGCAUCAAGAGUCCAGCAGGGACCCCAGGGCACCAGCACAGGUGCUAUGAGCACAGACCUCAUCCCCCUGGAGGGUCCAUCCUCCUCCAUAGGAAGAGCCGCCGCUCGGGCCGAGCACCUGACGCGGACACAGCAACCACACGGCCCGAGCACCCUGCACACACGAGUGCGAGUGUGCGGCAGUGGACACGCACGGGCAGUGGGCGUGGUGGCUCCAGCAUCCACACGCACCCUGUGACCAGGGUCCUGAGGGGCAUCCCGAAAGACAGCAACAAAGGGCAAGUCCUCGCUCCAAGCAGAACUGAGUACUGUAUCUCAUCACCCACCUUGUCAGGAACGAGACUGGCCACAGGUACUGACCUAUGUGGACAUCUGGGGCAGCGCCAACAGCUCGCUGGACAGUUAGACUCAGAAGGAACAGAAU
RNAcentral lists this long non-coding RNA (1864 nucleotides) under Capra hircus (goat). Its description in RNAcentral is "lncRNA (ENSCHIG00010011528.1)". Lineage: Eukaryota; Metazoa; Chordata; Mammalia; Artiodactyla; Bovidae. The record is from RNAcentral.